This 843-nucleotide long non-coding RNA is filed under the name Canis lupus familiaris (dog). RNAcentral's name for it is "lncRNA (ENSCAFG00000057592.1)". Lineage: Eukaryota; Metazoa; Chordata; Mammalia; Carnivora; Canidae. The record is from RNAcentral.
CAGGAAAUCCCAUCCCUGGCGAUCCCUGUUAAGGGGUCUUUCUACCAUAUUGUCUCAGAGUCAUGAUGUCGCAGAGAUGGAUGAAGGGUCAGCGCUGCCUUGCUCCAGACAACGGAGCUGAGCGUGGCAGAAAGGUCGGGGGGAGGUAUUUCACCUGGUGAAGACAUCUCCUUAGCGGCUGAUGAUGUCGCCUGUCACUCGAGUUUCAAGAAGGCUGUAACCUACAGGCAAUGCGAUGCUGUGCUUAAAGCAGGACCUUCCCGAGCCCUACAUGUUCUGACUUUUGUAGUCGCCACCACACAAAACAUCAGGUACAUCAGCUGCAUCCGUAUCUCACAUUAAGUAUACUUAUUUUUUUUUUUGUUUUAAGAAUCUUCAUAGGGUUUUUAAUUUACGAUUGGCUAUGAGUUCCCAACAAUUACUGUGUACGCUAUGAAUAGGGGAAUUUGUGAAGUGGGAGAACUGACCCUGUAAGUUGCAUUCAAGGGAAUGAAAUCCUUAUGAAUGCUAAUGCUAAUUUAACAGUGAACGAAGCUGGCAUGUUGGUACAUUUUGUAGACAUUUAGUUAAACAUUUAUUAAUUUUUACAUUUAUUGUUUUCUUUUGUAGAUUUGGAACCAACAACUGUUUUUCUACCUGGGUGUCAUGCAUUUUUCUAGAUUCCCAAGAAGCUCUUACCUCUGGGAUUUCAUUGUACUGUCACCCUUGGGCCGAGGCUGCUGCUGCUCCUGUGGACUCUGGGAAAGGGCCUCCUCCACGAAUUCCCACUUGUUCCAUGGCCCACCCCUGACUCCCCAGCUCUCACAGUCUAGCUUAGACACCCUGACGAGGUGGAGGAUGUAA